GGGGUGACGCAGGAAGGUAGCUGAGCCAGUCAGUGGUAAUACUGGUGUAAGCCUGUAGGGAGUGACCUAGGCAAAUCCGGGUCACACAUAUCCUGAGAGGUGACGCAUAGCCGAAUGAGGCGAAUUCAGUGAUCCUAUGCUGCCGAGAAAAGCCUCUAGCGAGCUUUCACACGGCCCGUACCCCAAACCGACACAGGUGGUCAGGUAGAGAAUACUAAGGCGAUCGAGAUAACUAUGGUUAAGGAACUCGGCAAAAUGCCCCCGUAACUUCGGGAGAAGGGGGGCCUCGUCUGGUGAUCACUCUUGCAGUGUGAGCUGGGUGGGGCCGCAGAGACCAGUGAGAAGCGACUGUUUACUAAAAACACAGGUCCGUGCGAAGUCGUAAGACGAUGUAUACGGACUGACGCCUGCCCGGUGCUGGAAGGUUAAGAGGACCGGUUAGCCAUUUCGGUGGCGAAGCUGAGAAUUUAAGCCCCAGUAAACGGCGGUGGUAACUAUAACCAUCCUAAGGUAGCGAAAUUCCUUGUCGGGUAAGUUCCGACCUGCACGAAUGGCGUAACGACUUCUCAGCUGUCUCAACCAUAGACUCGGCGAAAUUGCAUUACGAGUAAAGAUGCUCGUUACGCGCGGCAGGACGAAAAGACCCCGGGACCUUCACUACAGCUUGGUAUUGGUGUUCGGUUCGGUUUGUGUAGGAUAGGUGGGAGACUGUGAAGCGCUCACGCCAGUGAGUGUGGAGUCGUUGUUGAAAUACCACUCUGAUCGUAUUGGACCUCUAACCUCGGACCAUGAUCUGGUUCAGGGACAGUGCCUGGUGGGUAGUUUAACUGGGGCGGUUGCCUCCCAAAAUGUAACGGAGGCGCCCAAAGGUUCCCUCAGCCUGGUUGGCAAUCAGGUGUCGAGUGCAAGUGCACAAGGGAGCUUGACUGUGAGACUGACAAGUCGAGCAGGGACGAAAGUCGGGACUAGUGAUCCGGCACCGGCAAGUGGAAGCGGUGUCGCUCAACGGAUAAAAGGUACCCCGGGGAUAACAGGCUGAUCUUCCCCAAGAGUCCAUAUCGACGGGAUGGUUUGGCACCUCGAUGUCGGCUCGUCGCAUCCUGGGGCUGGAGUAGGUCCCAAGGGUUGGGCUGUUCGCCCAUUAAAGCGGCACGCGAGCUGGGUUUAGAACGUCGUGAGACAGUUCGGUCUCUAUCCGCCGCGCGCGUUAGAAACUUGAGGAAGGCUGUCCCUAGUACGAGAGGACCGGGACGGACGAACCUCUGGUGUGCCAGUUGUUCCACCAGGAGCACCGCUGGUUAGCUACGUUCGGAAGGGAUAACCGCUGAAAGCAUCUAAGCGGGAAGCCUGUUCCAAGAUGAGGUUUCUCACCCCCUCGAGGGGGUAAGGCCCCCGGCAGACCACCGGGUUGAUAGGCCAGAACUGGAAGCCCAGUAAUG
This 1439-nucleotide ribosomal RNA is filed under the name Achromobacter sp. RNAcentral describes it as "bacterial LSU rRNA". It matches the Rfam family "Bacterial large subunit ribosomal RNA", at positions 1466 to 2883 of the family's 2925-position model. The record is from RNAcentral. Lineage: Bacteria; Pseudomonadati; Pseudomonadota; Betaproteobacteria; Burkholderiales; Alcaligenaceae.